AUUGAACGCUGGCGGCAUGCUUUACACAUGCAAGUCGAACGGCAGCGGGGUAGUGCUUGCACUACUGUCCGGCGAGUGGCGAACGGGUGAGUAAUAUAUCGGAACGUACCGAGUAAUGGGGGAUAACCAAUCGAAAGAUUGGCUAAUACCGCAUACGUCCUGAGGGAGAAAGCGGGGGAUCGCAAGACCUCGCGUUAUUCGAGCGGCCGAUAACUGAUUAGCUAGUUGGUGGGGUAAAGGCCUACCAAGGCGACGAUCAGUAGCGGGUCUGAGAGGACGAUCCGCCACACUGGGACUGAGACACGGCCCAGACUCCUACGGGAGGCAGCAGUGGGGAAUUUUGGACAAUGGGGGCAACCCUGAUCCAGCCAUGCCGCGUGUAUGAAGAAGGCCUUCGGGUUGUAAAGUACUUUUGUUAGGGAAGAAAAGGGAAGUGCUAAUACCACUUUUUGCUG
RNAcentral lists this ribosomal RNA (455 nucleotides) under Eikenella corrodens. RNAcentral describes it as "bacterial SSU rRNA". It matches the Rfam family "Bacterial small subunit ribosomal RNA", at positions 30 to 475 of the family's 1533-position model. Lineage: Bacteria; Pseudomonadati; Pseudomonadota; Betaproteobacteria; Neisseriales; Neisseriaceae. The record is from RNAcentral.